RNAcentral lists this ribosomal RNA (459 nucleotides) under uncultured bacterium. RNAcentral's name for it is "partial 16S ribosomal RNA". It matches the Rfam family "Bacterial small subunit ribosomal RNA", at positions 338 to 795 of the family's 1533-position model. The record is from RNAcentral.
CCUACGGGAGGCAGCAGUGAGGAAUAUUGGUCAAUGGGCGAAGGCCUGAACCAGCCAAGUCGCGUGAGGGAAGACUGCCCUAUGGGUUGUAAACCUCUUUUAUGAGGGAAGAAAAAUGACUACGUGUAGUCAGAUGCCAGUACCUUGUGAAUAAGCAUCGGCUAACUCCGUGCCAGCAGCCGCGGUAAUACGGAGGAUGCGAGGGUUAUCCGGAUUGAUUGGGUUAAAGGGGUGCGUAGGCGGUAUUUUAAGUUAGUGGUAAAACGUCGGGGCUUCACCUUGAUUGGCCAUUAAAACUGGAGUACUAGAGUACAGACGAGGUAGGCGGAAUAAGUUAAGUAGCAGUGAAAUGCUUAGAUAUAACUUAGAACCCCGAUAGCGAAGGCAGCUUACCAGACUUUUACUGACGCUGAAGCACGAGAGAGUGGGUAGCGAACAGGAUUAGAUACCCGGGUAGUU